RNAcentral lists this ribosomal RNA (253 nucleotides) under uncultured bacterium. RNAcentral's name for it is "partial 16S ribosomal RNA". It matches the Rfam family "Bacterial small subunit ribosomal RNA", at positions 524 to 776 of the family's 1533-position model. The record is from RNAcentral.
UACGAAGGGGGCGAGCGUUGUUCGGAAUUACUGGGCGUAAAGGGCGCGCAGGCGGCCUUAGAAGUCAGGCGUGAAAGCCCCGGGCUCAACCUGGGAACAGCGCUUGAUACUCUGGGGCUGGAGUACGGGAGAGGAGAGUGGAAUUCCCAGUGUAGAGGUGAAAUUCGUAGAUAUUGGGAAGAACACCGGUGGCGAAGGCGGCUCUCUGGACCGUAACUGACGCUGAGGCGCGAAAGCGUGGGGAGCAAACAGG